This is a long non-coding RNA of Alligator sinensis (Chinese alligator), 3873 nucleotides long. RefSeq lists it as uncharacterized. NCBI's taxonomy places the organism in Eukaryota, Metazoa, Chordata, Crocodylia, Alligatoridae. The record is from RefSeq and is a predicted model, not a curated record. The transcript has 3 exons.
AUCACUUGUAUAGCUUUAAAUAAACCUAGAUGGCUCUGCCAAUUCUAAUACAACCACAACGCAAAGUUUGAUUUCUUCCACAAUUUGGUGCCCUGACUCGGAGAGAGAUGCCCGGAGUGAUCAGUUGAGAUACAGACCGUCUCCUCACUGACGCCCCGGUGCCAAACUAAGGCAACAGCAGGUGACCACCAGGUGCCAUGGGCUGCACGUGGGAAGGCUCGCCGGGAGGCAGGCAUCACGGACAGAGAUGACUCAUCAGCUGUGGGAAGUCACAUGGAAGAUUGGGCAUGUGCUUGGAACCCUCUGCAGUUGCGGGUCAGUACGUGGAAGCCUCGGCAACUGUUCUCAACAUCAGCGAGACGCAGAGCUCCCUCGUUCUCAGGCCCCAUUGCCUGAGGGGCCCCGUGAGCCCCACUCACCGAGGCCCUUGCAGGGAUGGGCACAGACACUUAUAAGCCACAGGCUUGGUAUACUUGCCACCGGGGCACCAGGCCUAGUGUGCCAGUUGAUGCCUGCCUCUUCUGGUUUGUUCCUCCUCUGCUUUGCCCCUUCUUAAGUUUGGCUAAGCUCAGGGCCCCUUGCCCAUCAGCAUGGGUCAAGAACAGAUGUGGGGAUGGACAAGUUCUGAAAGCACAGCCUCCGCUCUGACUUUCAAAGGAAAGGCGGCCAUUCCCAGGCAGACAGGCCUUGGCUUUGCCCACCUACCUCGUGCCGGCCAGGGACAGAAAAGGAGGCAGCAGAACCCACUGCCCUGCAAAUGGAGGCGGGGGCACCAAGCACUUGGAAAUCAAACAGGAGGCCACACAGCAGACCCGCCUGGCUGGGUGACCCUCUGGGGGAUUUUGCUCGGCAAAAAGGAACAAGCUCCCACUUCCAGAAGCAAUGACCUGCACAAAGCUAGAAGGCCGCUCACUCGGUGCCCUGGCACAAGCACGCUCACGGGAGGACAGCGCGCUGGGCAGCCAACGUCGGGCCCUGUAAGCUGCGGCAGCACACAGGGACAAGCGCUCCCAAUACCAGAGAAAUGCGAGGCUACGAGGCUGUCCCUGGGCCCAGCCACCAGCAGGCAAUCCUCCUGAGGGUGCCUCUCAUUGACAGCAAUGUUCCACAUGGCUUCGCUUUUUCCAGGAAGGGACAGCAGCUCGGGCUCCCACAACCAGGGCCCUCUCUCCUUCCCGACCUGCCCCAGACGCAGCUCAUGCGUGCCUUUGGACAGCGGAAGCUCAUUGGGGCCACAGGUGACUUCCUGGGCAUCGUGUUGUGACUCCUCUGCAAGGACAGCCAGCCCUUGGGGGCUGGGCCAGAGGUGGCAGAGCGGCAGCUGGGCUCACGGCCUUGUGCCUUUCAAGGGCCCCGGGGGCAGCCCCAUGUCUCAGGCUCGGACUUGGGCUUGAGCAAGUCCCGGGGGAGGGCGCAGUGAGGGAUGCCCUGCUCCACCCUGCGGUGGAAGGCAGAACCUUGCUCUGGCUGCGCAAAACCCUCUUGGAGCCCCGGGCGAUGUCAGUGCCGUGAUACGCAGGAACUGGCAUGCUCAGUAGGCAAGGUUCUUUGAGCAGGUGGGAGAUCUUGUUUUCGACCAGACAAGCAGCUUGAAAAAAGGUCUUAGCAGGCUUUCUGGCACAGCCCCCCUCCUUCAGGCCUGGGGAGUCCCUGCUGGUCUGAGGCCACACAUAAAGAGAGAAGCUAAAAGCACAGCAGGGUGCUGGUGAAAACGGAGAGCGACAGGCGCAACGACGACAGGGGCCAUGGGAUCCGGGGAACAUGGAGAAUCCACCCCGCAACGCCUGCAGGCCCCCAGCCCUCAUAACUGCAGGCUACAGUGAUGGGCUGAGCCGCCUCACUUUUUACAGGAGCCACCUGGGACUGGAAACCAAGGGACCUGCCCAUGACCAGGACAGCUCCCAGCCAGCCCUGGGCUGCACGAGGGAGCACAAGGAGGCUGCAGGUGGCUGGGGACUGUCCGGUUUCAGGCCAUCUCCCACCAGCUCAGGACAGCACAUGCAGACUUCCCUGCGCAGCCCUGGGGUGACUGGGAGCUGUCCUGGUCACAGGCAGGUCCCAGUCUCCUGCCUCAAUUGGGUGACUGAGGCGCGGGGCGUGGAAAAAGCUUCAGCGGGGUGGGGGUCAGUCCCAGCCCCCUACUCUUAUCCUCUGGUGGGGCAGCCAGCAGCAAGUGAGCUGUCACACAGGGGAUCAGGGUAAGGGGCUGGGUCCUGCCCAUCCCCUGCAACUCUUUCCACACCCUGCACCCCUGCUCAGGGAGCAAGGGUAGGAGCUCCCCUCUGCCAGGUCAGGGGGAUGUCGGCCCCACCCCAGCAGCAGACAGCACCCCAGGGCCCAGAGAUAAGCAUCUCGGUGCUCCCUGCCACCCCCCUGCGCUAGCCUGAAGCUGGCCCUGGUGUCUGCAGGGGCCCAUUACUGGGCUGCGGGUACCUGGGUGCAAAUCUGCUCCCUGCUCCUUGCAUGUGUCAAUGCCUGCCCAGAAAGCCUUUUUCCGGCUGGGCUUAUGCAAGCGUAACUUGGAGACAGAGUAAACACAUGUGCAGACAUGCCCGCUCCUCAUUAACUACUGCGUGGUCAGUCUGCUACCUACAUUUACAGGUAGUAGGAAAGCACACAGUAGCCUGUGUUACCACACAGUCCCCGCUGCACGCAUUUACAGAGCGACCCUUUACUGUGCGGUAGAUUGGCCUCCCGUGCACAAAAACACCUUGUGUAUCCGCACCUGCUAGAUACAUGUAUGUCUGCGCUGCGGGAGUGGACUUACCCAAGCGAGCCAAGGCAAAGGAAGCAGCCUAGAGGCAUCAGGAGGGUACUCUGAUCUGACUUCUUUAUCCCCCCGUCCUUUAAAGCUACCAUGGGCAUCUCUUACCUGAUGCUGCAUCGUGCAGAACAGGCGCAUCCUGACCUGUUGGUCUUUCCAGACGAUGGAUUCCCUGUUGACAGUCUGUUUAGAGAGCAGGGCGUGGUAUUUAUCCCGGAUGCCAGGCAAAUUUCCGGAGACAGCAUCUCACAUUCCAGAGUUGCAUGGAGAUAAAUAACAGCAGCGCUGAAAAAAGAUGAAGGGACCCAUGUUUUUCCAUAAAUCCCAGCAAGUAAAAGCUACAUUUCUCAGGUACCAAAAGCCAUCCCGCAACUCUACAGACACAUUUCGAGGCAGGCCUGUCGGUUAGGCACCGUACAACUUCCUUCCCAUUGGAAAGUCACUUAAUGAAUUGUCUCUUUUCUUCACCGUUCUACGUCCAUUACCUCUCCAAACAGCUGCGGACCUUCACAGGGUGUGGUGAAAGUCUGCUCGUUAGCCCAGCUGAAAUGUUCAAUGUUUAAGGUAAAGCGACGUUGCGAAUAGGUAUACGUGUUUCAAGGACAGCAAAGGGCCCAAGGGUACCAAGCUGGGCCCGACCCACCCGAUUUGCCUACUAAGGUAAGAGGAUGGGCUCUGCACAUGUGGGCGCACUGUCGGACCUUGACUCAAGCUGGGCUUUUGCUACGGUCUCCCACAACAUUCCCACAGGCGAGCCGAGAAAGUCUAGGUUGGAUAAAGGGUCUGGAAGGCGGACCAAAACCUGUCCGGAUCGUUGCGUUCAGAGGGUAGCAGUCAAUGGCGUGAUGUCCGGUGGGCGGUCAGGAUCAGGUGGAGUGCCUCAGGGGUCAGCUCUGGGCCCGUUUGGGUCAUUAUCUCCAUCGGUGACCUGGAAGAUGGCAUAGAGCGCACCCUCAGCACCAGGGCCGGCUCACAAGUUUUUGGGGUCCCCUGGCACGAAGAAGGCAUUGGCAGUGGUGUGGGGGUGGCAAUCACAGGGGUGGGUGAAGGUGUACCAGGGCCCUGGGUAAACACAAGAGUGGAGGCCCCCUCCCACUGUGGCACGGUGG